This 66-nucleotide transfer RNA is filed under the name Prioninae sp. MJTNT-2012. Its description in RNAcentral is "tRNA-Asn". The record is from RNAcentral. Lineage: Eukaryota; Metazoa; Arthropoda; Insecta; Coleoptera; Cerambycidae.
UUAGUUGAAACCAAAAUAGAGGUAUGUUACUGUUAAUAACAAAAUUGAGAACAAUCUCCAAUUAAA